UAAAUCAACUAUUCGUGGUGUAAAAUGAUGAAAAAAGGAUCAUACAGUACGACGUAUAUUUCUUUGUAAAUAUUGAUGCAUUCUGAAAGCCGUAACUGUCAAGUAAGGAAGCACAUUUUAUACAGUGGGGUAAAAAAGUAUUUAGUCAUCCACCGAUUGUGCAAGUUCUCCCACGUAAAAUGAUGACAGAGGUCUGUAAUUUUCGUCAUACGUACACUUCAACUGUGAGAAACAUAGUAUGGAAAAAAAAUCCAGGAAUUCACAUUGUAGGAAUUUUAAAGAAUUUGUUUAUAAAUUAUGGUGGAAAAUAAGUAUUAGGUCAACCAUUCAAAGCUCUCACUGAUGGACGGAGGUUUUGGCUGAAAAUCUCACGAUACAUGGCCCCAUUCAAUCUUUCCUUAACACGGCUCAAUUGUCCGGUCCCCCUAGCAGAAAAACAGCCCCAAAGCAUGAUGUUUCUACCCUAUGCUUCACAACCACAUGACAUUCUCCCAAUCCUCUGCUGUAUCAUCCAUGUGUCCAUUUUGGUAUAAACUCAACUCGUCGUGUUUGGAGGAAGAAGAAUACUGAGUUGCAUCCCAAGAACACCACACCUACUGUGAAGCAUGGGGGUGGAAACAUCAUGCUUUGGGGCCAUGUAUCGUGAGUUUUUUAGCCAAAACAUCCUUCCAUCUGUGAGAGCUUUGAAUGGUUGAAAAAAUACUUAUUUUCCACCAUAAUUUACAAAUAUAUAUUUUUUAAUUCCUACAAUGUGAAUUUCUGGAUUUUUUUUUCACAUUCUGUCUCACAGUUGAAGUGUACUACCCAUGAUGAAAAUUACAGACCUCUGUCAUCAUUUUAAGUGGGAGAACUUGCACAAUCGGUGGCUGACUAAAUACUUUUUUGCCCCACUGUAUAUAAAGCUCUUUUCACAAAUAAAAUCACAAAGCGCGGUACGCGCUUUAAUAAGGGAAAAAAAACAUGAAAACACGAGGGAAAUCACAAAGGACAUAAAAGACAAUAAAAGAGCACCGGGCUGAUGCUCCCAACUGACACUUCUACAUCUAUCCAUCCAUCCAUGUUCUACCGCUUGUCCCUUUUGGGGUCUUUGGAGCCUAUCUCAGCUGCAUAUGGGCAGAAGGCAGUGUACACCCCGGACAAGUCGCCACACAUAAAACUACAAAAAUAAAACAAACACCAAAAAAAAAGAG
Nerophis ophidion (straightnose pipefish) is the source of this 1190-nucleotide long non-coding RNA. RefSeq lists it as uncharacterized. The transcript has 2 exons. The record is from RefSeq and is a predicted model, not a curated record. NCBI's taxonomy places the organism in Eukaryota, Metazoa, Chordata, Actinopteri, Syngnathiformes, Syngnathidae.